AUUCUAUGGAGGAGAGCUACUCAGGAAAGCUGAUGAAGAGGAAAUUUGGACACAGACUGGUACAGAAGGAAGACCAUGUGAAAACACAAGAUGUCAAAGCAAGUGAG
Molecule: long non-coding RNA, 107 nt
Organism: Homo sapiens (human)
Lineage: Eukaryota; Metazoa; Chordata; Mammalia; Primates; Hominidae
Exons: 2
Source: RefSeq, a predicted model, not a curated record